GGGGUUGUGGCUCAGUUGUAGAGCGCUUGCCUCACAUGCUUGGGGCACUGGGUUCAAUUCCUCAGCACCA
This 70-nucleotide transfer RNA is filed under the name Marmota marmota marmota (Alpine marmot). It matches the Rfam family "tRNA". From Rfam's summary of the family: Transfer RNA (tRNA) molecules are approximately 80 nucleotides in length. RNAcentral also lists the same sequence under 3 other names. Lineage: Eukaryota; Metazoa; Chordata; Mammalia; Rodentia; Sciuridae. The record is from Rfam by way of RNAcentral.